CUGAACCUUACGACCUCACCAUAUGGUCG
RNAcentral lists this small RNA (29 nucleotides) under Bombyx mori (domestic silkworm). RNAcentral's name for it is "ovarian small RNA-14861". Lineage: Eukaryota; Metazoa; Arthropoda; Insecta; Lepidoptera; Bombycidae. The record is from RNAcentral.